GCCGAGGUGGCGGAACUGGCAGACGCGCGAGACUCAAAAUCUCGUGGUAGACAACUACCGUGCGGGUUCGACUCCCGCCCUCGGCA
Molecule: transfer RNA, 86 nt
Filed under: Microgenomates group bacterium RBG_19FT_COMBO_39_10
Lineage: Bacteria
Description: tRNA-Leu
Rfam family: tRNA
About the family: Transfer RNA (tRNA) molecules are approximately 80 nucleotides in length.
Source: RNAcentral